ACAGCAGCAGCCGCGGUAAUACAGAGGGUGCGAGCGUUAAUCGGAUUUACUGGGCGUAAAGCGUGCGUAGGCGGCUUUUUAAGUCGGAUGUGAAAUCCCUGAGCUUAACUUAGGAAUUGCAUUCGAUACUGGGAAGAUAGAGUAUGGGAGAGGAUGGUAGAAUUCCAGGUGUAGCGGUGAAAUGCGUAGAGAUCUGGAGGAAUACCGAUGGCGAAGGCAGCCAUCUGGCCUAAUACUGACGCUGAGGUACGAAAGCAUGGGGAGCAAACAGGAUUAGAUACCCGUGUAGUCCCUGUCUCUUAUAC
RNAcentral lists this ribosomal RNA (305 nucleotides) under uncultured bacterium. Its description in RNAcentral is "partial 16S ribosomal RNA". It matches the Rfam family "Bacterial small subunit ribosomal RNA", at positions 505 to 807 of the family's 1533-position model. The record is from RNAcentral.